Molecule: ribosomal RNA, 467 nt
Filed under: uncultured bacterium
Lineage: Bacteria
Description: partial 16S ribosomal RNA
Rfam family: Bacterial small subunit ribosomal RNA
Source: RNAcentral
GACGAACGCUGGCGGCGUGCUUAACACAUGCAAGUCGAACGGAAAGGCUCCAGCUUGCUGGAGUACUCGAGUGGCGAACGGGUGAGUAACACGUGGGUAAUCUGCCCUGCACUCUGGGAUAAGCCUGGGAAACUGGGUCUAAUACUGGAUAUGACCUUUCUCCUUAUGGGGUUUGGUGGAAAGUUUUUCGGUGUAGGAUGAGCGCGCGGCCUAUCAGCUUGUUGGUGGGGUGAUGGCCUACCAAGGCGACGACGGGUAGCCGGCCUUAGAGGGUGAUCGGCCACAUUGGGACUGAGAUACGGCCCAGACUCCUACGGGAGGCAGCAGUCGGGAAUAUUGCACAAUGGGCGGAAGCCUGAUGCAGCGACGCCGCGUGAGGGAUGACGGCCUUCGGGUUGUAAACCUCUUUCAGCAGGGACGAAGCGUAAGUGACGGUACCUGCAGAAGAAGCACCGGCUAACUAUGUG